Podarcis lilfordi (Lilford's wall lizard) is the source of this 75-nucleotide non-coding RNA. The record is from the annotation of a GenBank genome assembly. Lineage: Eukaryota; Metazoa; Chordata; Lepidosauria; Squamata; Lacertidae.
GCAAUCAGAUAGCUCAGUCAAUAGAGCAUGAGACUCUUAAUAUGAGGGUCAUGGGUUUGAGCCCCACGUUGAGCA